UCAGGCAACGAGCGAGACCCACGCCAACAGUGCCAGCUCGGUCCUCCGGGGAUGGUGGGGACACUGUUGGGACCGCCUCUGCUAAAGAGGAGGAAGGAAUGGGCAACGGUAGGUCAGCAUGCCCCGAAUUAUCUGGGCUACACGCGGGCUACAAUGGGUGGGACAAUGGGUAUCGACACCGAAAGGUGAAGGCAAUCUCCUAAACCCAUCCGUAGUUCGGAUUGUGGGCUGCAACUCGCCCACAUGAAGCUGGAAUCUGUAGUAAUCGUGUCUCAAAAAUGGCACGGUGAAUAUGUCCCUGCUCCUU
This 307-nucleotide ribosomal RNA is filed under the name uncultured Methanomicrobiales archaeon. RNAcentral describes it as "bacterial SSU rRNA". It matches the Rfam family "Archaeal small subunit ribosomal RNA", at positions 1034 to 1338 of the family's 1478-position model. Lineage: Archaea; Methanobacteriati; Methanobacteriota; Methanomicrobia; Methanomicrobiales. The record is from RNAcentral.